CUUGACAUCAAUUAGAUCACCAGGCUCUCUUGGGUCCUCCGAGUAGAUCAUUAGGAGACUUGUGCCUCCCCUCCCUCUGUUCCCCCACUUGAUCGCCCACUUUACGCCAUUGCGUUGCACUUCAAGCUGCUUCCUUUGCAUUCGUCCUCUCAUCUGCAGCCCAGCGCUUUGGCAGCCACGCUCGCGUUUUCAAGGUAUAAAGGGCCGAGAGGAAGGGGAGGGCGAGCGACACGCUGUGAUGGUGAGGCGAGCCUCGAAAUUGCCUCUUAAUUUGCGGCCAACGUGUCGCAGCGGCGGCGGGCUCUCCUCCCGACAAGCAUAUCAGGCAAUUAGCGAGCGCUAAUCAUGACCCUCGUGUCGGCGCCGUAGCCUCGUUUGUAAUCUCUUAAUGAACAAAUUGCAUCUCUGAUUAGGGGCCGUCUCACCGGGAGAGAAAGCAGACGAGAGUGAGACGCCGCAGUAGAGCCAGCAUUAAUUGCCUCAGGUUUGGCGUUCUAAUCGUGUAUUUCAAAACUGUAAUGUAAAUUCAUCUCAGUGGCUGGAGUCAGGAUUUUGGUGGCGUUAAUUUGCUCCUAGAGCAGUUUGAGUGCCAGAAAGACUUGACUUGUUUUGGAGGGGUGUCUUCAUUAUGUGAAGAUGAUAGUUGAGCUCUCUCCAAGUGUGCAACAAAAUUUCUCACUGGUCAUCUGUGUCACAUAGAAACGAAAGUGCUCUCUUUAUGUUAUGAUCCUCGCAUCCUGUUGCGUGUUCACCAGUAAGGUCAAACGACGAGGUUAGAUUUUAAACCCUCCUGGGAGCUGUCAGUCACAAAGAUUAGAGGGGAAAUCAGUUGGUGCUAGAGUGUUUAUUGGGGUUUUAACUCCAAAGAACUCACCUGAGUGCCAUUUUGUGGCCACUCCUGAGCUCAUUAGAGCGACUCUUGGCCACUCGAGGUGAUGCCGGUUCAACCCGCCUCUUUUUAAAGUAGAACAUUUUUGUGAGGAGCACACUCAUUAAAAUUACUCAUUGCCAAUGGUUAGGUCGCAGUAACAAGAACAGUGUAACCUGAUUGGUCCUGUUAUACAUGGUGCCAAUGCAUGUUGGUUGAUAAUUGUUCUUGUUUUUUCACACGAUCAUGGUUGUCCUCAACCAAAGUGUGCUCAUAUUUUCAAAAUACGUUGAAACAUAUCCUGACUCUUUUUAGUACUUUUUAUUGCUGUUUUUCUUUCUAAUGCUGGACAAAAUAUUUAUGUGUAGCCAAGUGAUGAAACAUUCUUCCGAUACGAGUUUCUGCAGACGUAAUGGUGAGUGAAAUGUCCCGUUGAAUAAUAAACCUUGGAACCACUCUUUUUUUGUUUCUGGAAUGCAACGGAUGCAUCCAGCUUUGUUUACUCCUCCACAUCUGCUCCACGCCGCUAAUUAGUCGCUAAUUGGCGCAGAGAAAGCCAAUGGCUCACUCAAGUCUUUGUCAGGGAGUUUGAGUGAAGAGUUGUAUGCUGUAGUCAUAGACACAAUUUCAGAUGACAAAAAAAUCAUUUGAUAUUAAAUGUUUUAUUAAUGUGUCAAGACUGAUUAAGAUUGUAUGUCACACAUACUAGCAGUAAUAAGAAUGAUAGGUACAGUACAAUACAAUACGGAAAUGGUAGGUUAACAAAACCAAUACACUUUAAUGUAAUUCACGUAACAUGCUAACUUAAAGAAUAUCAUAUGUAAAUAACUAUGACUUCAAUUAGCGAGCGGGCUCGACACUUUCCCCACAAAUUUACAUUGCAGAAGUAACGUUAACCCUCAAGUGAAAUUGUCAUUCUGGUUAACAUGAUUACCUGAAAUCAUAAUGACAGGAGCAGAUUGCGGCAUGAUGAAGAAAGUAUACCAGUGUCAGUCUAUGUUAAGUUGCAUGCAUGCGUGCAAUAAUGGAUGAAUAUGAAUGAUGCCUGAUGAAGGAAAUGCUGACAGUGAGAGAGGGGGCUGUAGAUGUAGUCAGUGCCCCUCAGAAUUUUCUACUGAGCCAAAAGUAGAUUACUGACAUUGCAUAGUAACUAGAGCUGGGAAUCUUUGGGCACCUAACGAUUCGAUUACGAUUCAGAGGCUCCGAUUCGAUUAUAAAACGAUUAUUGAUGCACUCCCCUCCUUUUUUUAAAAAAAUGUUUUGUACAUUAGUUCCAAAAUUGUUCAAAAAUCCUCCCAGGCAAAACAAAACUACUAUUUCAGUAUCAAGUUAACAUAUAACAGUAAAUAAAAAACUCCAGUCCCCAUUCUGUAUCAGCAGCUUUAACAGGGUACCCGCGGGUUAUUAAAAGUAUUAACUCUUUCACUCCCAGCCAUUUUCACCAGAGCAAGUCCCUUCGCUUCCGGCCGUUUUUUUUUUCUGGAUUUUGACUGAUUUUGCAAGGCCAACAGAAAAUUAUGUUCUAUUUCUAUAUAAACUUGGAAACCACCAAAAGAAAGAUUAGACUGUAUUCUUUCAGCAGAAAAAAAAGUAAGUUCGUAUCUUUUUCCAUUCUUUAGAAAUCAGCAUUAGAAAAUAGCUUAGUUUGAGCAAUUUUCCAAUUUCUGAUGAAAAAACGGAGAAAAUGAGCUUUUUGUAAACGCAUACAUUUCAAACAUAACUUUGACUUUAACAAAGCUAUUUUUUGCAUUAGUUACAUUCCAAACAUCUGAAUGUUUUCAUUUUACAAAAUACCAUGAACAACCAGACAAAUAGAGCUUUAGAUAGCAAAGUAACAAUUUAUUCACACACGACUACUGAGAGAUGACGGUUUGUCGCCACGUCAGCUGUGUAAACUUUUCCCUCAUCGUUGUCUGUCUCACAAAGAUGGAUUAUUUUUGCAUUUCUGCGGGGUCUGCUUGGCGAGCCGCUCCACGGGGGGUUUCACUCGUUUUGCAUGGUCGUCCAGCGCCUGGCGUCCCAGGCGUCCUCUCGUUGUUUUGUCCGGUUAGAGCGCCGCCUGGGCUCAAGCCGCCAGCGCUCUGACAAUGCUGCCCGGCCGUUCACUGCUGUUGAAUCGGGUUGCCUAGUCUUCCAAAAUGCGCUACUGCCCUCCAGUGGCCAGUUUUAUUGCUUUAAAAUUGGUUUGGAGCGUUGUUCUUUGUUUCUCGGAUACAGCGGAAGCUAUAUAUGCUUCUUAUGAAAAAAAAACACAAAAGACGUAUAAAUACGUUUGCGGGACAGUUCAGCAUUUAAAAAUACAACGUAUUUAUACGUUUCUGGGAGCAAAUGAGUUAAAAAAGCAUUGAAUUUAGUUUUCCAUUAUUAAAGGUAUUAAAAGUAUUAAAUUAGCUGUUGUAAGUCUGGAAUUUUUUCACCGUGGUCCUAAUUUUCAAGAACAUAUCAGUGCAACCUAAAUUAUUUCCGUGACUUUUUUUUUUUUUUUUUUUAAAUCCAUAACGAAGAUGACGCAUAGAAUUUUUAGGAUGCACUGCACUACAAAUCGAAAUGCAACUCGUGCGUGCCAAACCACCACAACCGGCAAAACGGAGAAUCCUUCCACCUCUGCAUCGUGAAUGCGUCCGUUUGUCGGUGGAACGAAAACCCUGCAGGCAGAAGUAUUGUGGAUUCUGAACACCAAAACAGACCACCAUUCAUAUACUUCAAAUGAGUCCAUUGGUGAUCUGUUUCGGAUAUUACGUAAUUUUUGGUCGGCAUCGGCUGUCACAAUGUUGGUCAUAUUGCAUUUUGUUCCAGAGGGAGCGUUCCCGAUGUCUUAACUAUAACGAAUUUUCAGUUGGCAGAAAAAAAACGCACAUUUUCUUAAUGUUUAAAUAGUCUACAUAUUCUUAUGACCAUUAUAAAUGCAUUUACACAAUGAAAUAACGCUGGAAAAGUUUGUUAAACAUAAUGUUGCUCAAAUCGUGUUUUUUUUUUCCAGAGGGAGCAUUCCCGACUUCGUAACUGCAGCCAAUUUAAGCUCAUCAAGACUUUAAGAUAGAGGUAAAAUCGGGCCUAAAAAGUCCAGCCCGACCCAAACUGGUCCACGGGUAAAGCCCGACCCGCGUUUUGUGUGAUAACAUUUGUGAUGAUGUCUGCAUAAAAGCCUGUCUUUUAUAACGAAUUCUCAGUUGGCAGAAAAAAAACGCAUAUUUUCUUAAUGUUUAAAUAGACUACAUAUUUUUAUGAUCAUUAUAAAUUUAUUUACACAACGAAAUAACGCUGGAAAAGUUUGUUAAAUAUAGAUUAACAAAUGCGGUUUUGCGGACUCGCAGAGGGGAAGAUUAAAAAGGGCGUAUAGGCACGCUCUGGCUCUGCAAUGACCAUACAGUGCCUUCUUUUUUUUUUUAUGCAAAUUAUUUAUUUUAUAACAAGUAUUCCUUAGUUUAUCAUUCAUACAUCGUUAAUAUAUAGUUAUUUCAAAAAGUUAGCGAGAAAGAACCUUGGCCCGGCCCGACGUAAUAAUUGAGAUUUUAAUUUUGGUCAUGUUUUCAGUUUAAUUUAGCUGUUUCCAGCUUGCUAUGUUUAUAAUAGCGAUGUUUGUUUACCGCUUUUCUUCUUACUGUGAAGAGGGAGGAAGUUACAUCGGCCGCCGCUAUGAUAUUUAAGUCAUCAGCCAUCUGCUGUGAGCGGGGAAUUUAACGCCUGCUUUCACGCACACUGCUUCCCAUGUCAGUCGACACGGGAAAUUGUUUUCACACACAACUGCUGCACGGUUAAGUCCUGCGAUAUUCCCGUUGUUUUGGAGUAUGUGAUAGGGGCUCAAGUUACAUCCAGAUACUUUAGGUUGCAAUUUAUGGGUCAUGCGAAGGCAGUGGACCUGCUUAAACAUUUCGGUUUGCCUUUCGAAUGAAUGUGAAUUUCGCCGUUUUAACUCGAGAGUUAGCCAUGUUCACUGGGGUCUUGGCAGGUGCACUAGCGGCUAGCCUGUUACAGAAGAUGGCUAGUCUGAGUCCUGUCCUCCUCCUCUUUUUGUCCAUAAUUAUUGUGUGCGUGUGUGUGUUUAAAAAAAUUCUGACAGACUUUAUAAGGUUACUUUAAAUGUGUUUUAAUUGUAUCUUCAACAUAUGUGCAUUCUUUUGUCAAACACACUUAGUAAUUGAGGUUAAAUUUGAUGUUCAGUGCUUUAUUUAUUUAAUAUGAUUCAAUAUGAUCUAAAUAAUGGGUGCGAGAAAAGUAUUAAUUUUCAGUUGAAAUGGCAUUAAAAAAGGUCGUAAGUCUUGGAUUUCGAUUUAUCAAUCCUGGGGGGACCCUGUUUAAACAACAUUCAAUUAAUUUAAUGUUGUGAAUCAACUGUUACAUUUGUUAAAAUUACUCCCGUUAUUCCAUAAUUUCCCUUCUGUCUACUUUUGUCAAAGUUUUAAAACUAUUUCAUCAUUUAAAGAUAGAUUCAAGACAAGAUUCUGCCGAUUUAGGAGUAUUUUAGAUAAAAAGUUAAUUAGGUACGCUACAACAGAGCCUUCUAGAGAGGUCUACUGCUGUAAGAUGGCGGCUGUUUACUUACGCCGGAAAGUCUGUCAUUCGCAUCGCUGUUCAAUAAUACAUGUUUUAACACCGACGUCGUCUGUCAUUUUGCAUAUAGUUCUACAUAUAUAUGAUAUCUACUGUAGCCGUAUGUUUGUAGCAACUAGCAACUGGGCGUUGUUUGUAGCGGUUGUCGGCCGCAGUCAGGUAUGAUUGUUUUUUUAUCUAGCGGCAUGAGUUGAACAUGGUAUUUACUCUCGGUCCGUUCUUCAUUGCGUCCCAAAGACCGCGCUGACUGUGUUUUACUUCCGCUUUACCUGGUAUAAUUCAAUAAUCGGAAUUUGGAUAUUUUGAAUCGUUCUCGAAUCUUCCACGACCGAAUCGCGAAUAAUCUAAGAAUCGGAAAUUUUGCACGGCUCUAAUAGUAACAAUGUUUAUUCCGAAGGAGCUUGAAUUUAAAUUAGGUUUACAAGAAGUGUAUUUGCUGUAUUCAAUACGAGGCUGACAAGUUUUCAAUACCUAUGAAAAUUUUCACAAAACCCUUGUAAAACAUGUAAACAAUUUAAACAAUACAGGAUACAAAGUCGAUUUUCAUUUAAUUAAGUAUAAAUGUAAAUCAUGUGUAAUUCUCAAAAAUACCACCAUGAUAAGUGGAGGCUCAUUUGAUGCUCACAUUCAUCAUGUGCAUGGCCAGGGCGAUAACUCGAAGUUUAUGAAUUGAUUAAAUAAUUUAUUUAUUUUAAUUGUGACUAAUUCAAAAAGUCAUUUAUUUCAUUUCGAAAAAGACUUUAAUCAGGACAACAAUUACUUUUGUUCAACGUUUGAAUUAAAAAAUAGUAAUACUAAUAAUUUUUUUAAAAUUGUUUUGAGAUUUCGCUCUCUUUUGGUGAAGACUGAAUCGAAAAAACUGAAAUUCUUUGGAUGCAUUGCCCAGCCCUAUCAUCGACUAUACACUACAUUUGUUGAAAGUACAUUGGAUAUAAGUGAAAGGCAAAAAGUGUUCUUUUUCAUUUGUGCCAUCCUUACCACAACAAACCUGUCGCUUCACAAAUAUAGUGCAAAAACAAUAAUUAUUCUACUAUACAAACGAGUAAGAACAACGUUUUCAUUGUAAUUUGAAUUUGUGUACAUUUUGAUGUGAUUACAAUGAUUGACUAUUACUUUAUUUUUUGGACUACAAGUAUAAGUCGCCCCCUGAGUAUAAGUAGCACCAGCCAAAAAAGAUGCACAGUGAAUAGUGAGGGGGAAAAAAACAUGUAUAAAUCGCACUGAGGUAUAAGUUGACAUUUUUGGGGCAAUUUUAGCGAUGCUGUGGGGCUGUUUCCCUUCCAAAGGCACUGGGAACCUUGUUAGGGUGCAUGGCAUCAUGAAUGCUUUGAAAUACCAGGACAUUUUAAAUCAAAAUCUGUUGCCCUCUGCCUAAAAGAUGAAGAUGGGUCAUCACUGGGUCUUUCAGCAAGACAAUGACCCUAAACAUAUGGCCAAAUCUACACAGAAAUGGUUCACCAGACACAAAAUCAAGCUCCUCCCAUGGCCAUCUCAGUCCCCAGUCCUCAACCCCAUUGAAAACCUGUGGGGUGAGCUGAAGAGGAGAGUACAGAGGUGAGGACCCAGGUCUCUUGGAUGAUUUAGAGAGAUUCUGCAAAGAGGAAUGGCUGAAGAGCCCUCUUUCUGUCUUUUCCCAACUUGUGAAACAUUAUAGGAGAAGAUUAGGUGCUGUUUUGUUGGCAAAAGGGGGUUGUACAAAGUAUUAACACCAGGGGUGCUAAUAAUUGUGACACACAUUAUUUAAUGUCAAAUAAUUAUUUCUUUAUGUGGGAUUUUUUUCCCCACUGAAUAAAUGCACUUGUAUUGAAGAUUGGAUUUUUCUCUUUUUUUCCCCAUUAAGGUCCCAUAUUAUUUAGAAAGAAAAAAAAUAUUAGAAGCUAAAAAACACAUCUUUAUUAUAAAUCCAAUAAUUAUGGAGGGCACUGUAUAUCAGUUGAAACUCAAUAUUUUAGGCAAACAGGUUUUUUGUUAAGUAGUUCAAAUGUAACAUUUUAAGUUUACAAUAUUAACUUGAUAAAUGUGUUAGGAAUCCUCAAAAUAACAAGUUACUUAAGUGUAUUGAACUAUUUGAGUUAUGACUUGAAGGCCCAGCCAAAUUUUGGGGAAAAAAGUGGGAGUUAUAGUCUGUAAAAUAAGGUAAAAGUUAAUCAAAUAAAUCUCAUUGCCGCCACAGGCAUAAAUUGAAUUUGCAAACCUUUGAACUUGGUUGACUCCGCCCACAGUUCCUGAGAUAAUAGUUUACUCGGUAUACUUCCGGACAUGGAGCAGAACUUCUUCCUGUAAGGAGGCGAUUAGUGCUGUAAUUGGCUCUCCCGGUUGUAGACGAGUGCGGGGCUGGCUGGUUUUGACAAGUAUGCUCGUCCCCCCUCGGCGCCGGCUGCUUUGUCAGGAGUUAAAUUGCAUGGUUAAUUCGGAUGUUAUUUACCCUGUAAUUCAUUAGUUUGGGCCGCCAUUGGCGGCUUGCAGGCUGUAAUUUCACGCUUGGCAAUAAAAGAUGUCUCAUAAUCUGCUUCAUUUAGCAGCCAAAGAAUUUAAUGAAAUUAACUGUGGCCCUAAUUAAGACGGUGAAUAUUAAAGACCUGCUAUCAAGGCUUUAACGAGGGUGACACUAUCCGCGUUUCGCCCGAUACGAAAAAUAUCAUUUCCCUGUGAAAGGUUGUCACUGCUCGGAGCCAUUUUGGCCGUGAUGACAUUUUUGUCACGCACACUCACCCCUGCAAAUGAGAUUUUGCAGGGGGCGUCGCUCCCAUUUUAGUCGGAGGAAUAAUUAAAACAUGGCACACAGGCGUCAAUCAAAGAACAUACUCAUUACGCCUCAUCUCCAGUUUUUGUUUGCCAUGGGCUGUCUCAUGAUGACCGUCUUUGGCCGGAGGCUCUUCAUGUUUUAUGUCUGUCAAUCCACUAAAACUAACUAACUGCUGAAGUAAGCUUUUGGGUUUGUCAUUCAUUGCCUGGCUCGCCAAUUCCUUGGGAGGGAAGUGACCCUUACAUUCAACUUUAUUUUAACUUCAGAAUGUUUUUUUAAGCAUCAACACCUUUCCAAUAUCGGACAACUUUUGUCAACGUUUGAUCCAAUGAAGCAUUUUACUGAUCACCUAUCAGCUGCCGUAACCAUUUGGCCACACCGCCUGCAAUCUCGAUGCAGCCACACACACUGUCUGGAAGCAUGAUGGAUGAGCUGCGAUGGCCGGCGCGAUAGAGGAGGCAGCGUCCAGUUUCCCUCCCACCCACUGUCACCACCCCAAUCUGCUGUCUAAGGGUGACACCUCCAAUUUAGCUUCCCGCUCUUGUGGGAUUUCCAUGAACAAAAGGGCUGUGGCCCCUCAGAGAUCUAGCCGUUCUGUGGAAAGCGUGUCCUCCCCUGUCUCAUAGAUUGAGCGCCCCUGUAUCACGUCUAGGAUCACACUCGGGAGGGUCCAUUGUGUGAAGAACACAGGGGUGAUGGAGGGAUUAAAUGCUCGAUUAGUUUAUAGCAGACCACGAAAGUUCCUUUGCUGCUUCACAAAGUAGAGGCUUGGUAAGAGCUGUCCUUGAUUUAAAAAAACAACAACAAAACCUUCCAGUAGAACAAAUUAUGGAAACUGCGACUGGUUGUAGGAGAGAUGCUAAGUAGUCAGCGAAACAAACUUAAUAUAUUUAAUGAAUAGCAAUAUGUCAUAUUGAAAAAGAAAAAGGUUGAUUUUUUAAAAUUCUUUUAAAUAAACAGGAGAUGACGAGAUACGAUUCAGGAGCAAAAAGAAACAAUGAUCACCUAUGCUAAAUAAAUUUAACCCCUGGGUGUUAUUUGUCCAUUUUUUGGCUUUUUUCGUUUUUUUCUGUGUUUAAAAGGAAAAAAAGCAUAUGAAAAAAUACACUAGGGAGCUGAUAUUUCCUGCAGGAUACUAAAUCAUGUAGAAGUUCGAAAUGGCACCAUCCGGCAAUUUCUAACUUAUUGCAAACAGGCUGGGAAGAUUUGCACUAAACUCUUGUUAUUUUGCCAUUUUUUGGCUCAUUGACUCCCAUUAUAAAUCAUGAUUUUUAAUAUGCUGUAAACCUGAUGUUUUAUCAUGCAUUUUCCGUGAUUAUUGAUGCAAUCGCUUCUUUGGCGAGUCAAAAACAUGCAGAUAAAAAUUUUUUUGUGUUGACACCCAGAAGUCACUAGAUGGAGCCAUAGGCCAAUACAUGAAUUUUCUUGCGAAGCUAGCUUCAGAUCGGUCAAAAAUUAAUGCAAUAAAGACGGUUGGCUUUACAAAAAAAAUGGUGUCAAUGUUGUCUGAGCUCACUUUCAGUCUAUUUGGGCAUGCGUAUUUGCAAUUUUGCACGUUUGCACAAGACAAUAAAAAGGUACUUCCCGGAAAUGCAAAAAAAACCAAAACAAAAAACCACGUGUUUAUUGUUGUCGUUUGAAUUUCAACUUUUAUUGGUUGGGUGUUUGAAUUUCUUUACUCUCAUUGGUUCUGGGCAUUUUGGGAGUCUCUGUUCUCGCGAGGAUCACCAUUUUGCAUUUCUUCCAACACAACUUAUGAUCGAUGGCGGCGAGAAGUAUUUCACCGCAGGACACGAUUCGAAUGGUGUUAGAAAAUCCUGAUUCCGACGACGACGACCUUUGUUCGGACGCUUCUUUGGAGAGCCCAGAAGACAUUGAACAAAUUCUUCCGGACUUUCGAUGCCGGAGGAGGACGGCUUUGAUGACGAGGAUUAGGAAAUAGUUGACAACAAAACGAGAUGAAAGCGGGGAGCAGAAGGCGGGGGCACGGACAUGACCACGUUGAGGCGCAUGACGAAAAUGACGGCGAUCGAGGCCUGAGGCACAUACUCCUGCCGCCGGCGCGCACUCAGGUGGCCAAUGUGUGUUUUUUCACAUGCCGGACAUUUCGUCAUGCAGCGCGUUUGUGCUGUUCACGGAGAUCUACCCUCGUUUGUGCUGUUCACGGAGAUCUACCCUGAGUGGAACGUGAAGAAAAGCUACAAGCGCCGACUAUUUCUUGAGGAACUUGGCAAGGCUCUAAUUCGGCCAGAAGUCCUAAAACGGGAACCACCGCCUUCUGCUGAAGGCUUGGUUGAGCAGCGAGCUGGACCCCCGUCCAAGCGCAAACAAUGUGGCCUUUGCACAAAGCCACUUCGGGCUUCGAACAUAAUAAUAAAUAAUAAUACAUUUUAUUUAUAACGCACUUUACAUUUGAACAACAAAUCUCAAAGUGCACAUCAUGAAUUGUGUAUGUUGUUAUUAUGUUAACUGUUAUAUUGUAUGUAUGUUUUGUAAAAUUGUUAACAUAAAUUCUAUCAUCAAAUCA
Long non-coding RNA from Corythoichthys intestinalis (scribbled pipefish), 10692 nucleotides. RefSeq lists it as uncharacterized. The record is from RefSeq and is a predicted model, not a curated record. The transcript is spliced from 2 exons. Lineage: Eukaryota; Metazoa; Chordata; Actinopteri; Syngnathiformes; Syngnathidae.